RNAcentral lists this ribosomal RNA (505 nucleotides) under uncultured bacterium. RNAcentral describes it as "bacterial SSU rRNA". It matches the Rfam family "Bacterial small subunit ribosomal RNA", at positions 19 to 518 of the family's 1533-position model. The record is from RNAcentral.
CUGGCUCAGGAUGAACGCUAGCGGCAGGCUUAACACAUGCAAGUCGAGGGGCAGCGCGAGUAGCAAUACUUGGCGGCGACCGGCGCAAGGGUGCGUAACGCGUGAGCAACAUGCCCGUAUCAGGGGGAUAAUCCAGGGAAACUUGGUCUAAUACCCCAUAGUAAUUUUGUAAGGCAUCUUAUAAGAUUUAAAGCUUUGGUGGAUACGGAUUGGCUCGCGUGACAUUAGCUGGAUGGUAAGGUAACGGCUUACCAUGGCUAUGAUGUCUAGGGGUUCUGAGAGGAAGGUCCCCCACACUGGAACUGAGACACGGUCCAGACUCCUACGGGAGGCAGCAGUGAGGAAUAUUGGACAAUGGAUGGAAAUCUGAUCCAGCCAUGCCGCGUGAAAGGAAGAAGGUCCUAUGGAUUGUAAACUUCUUUUGUAUGGGAGCAAUAAGGCCUACGAGUAGGUUGAUGAGAGUACCAUACGAAUAAGCACCGGCUAACUCCGUGCCAGCCGCCGC